RNAcentral lists this ribosomal RNA (253 nucleotides) under uncultured bacterium. Its description in RNAcentral is "partial 16S ribosomal RNA". It matches the Rfam family "Bacterial small subunit ribosomal RNA", at positions 524 to 776 of the family's 1533-position model. The record is from RNAcentral.
UACGGGGGGGGCAAGCGUUGUUCGGAAUUACUGGGCGUAAAGGGCUCGUAGGUGGCCAACUAAGUCAGACGUGAAAUCCCUCGGCUUAACCGGGGAACUGCGUCUGAUACUGGAUGGCUUGAGUUUGGGAGAGGGAUGCGGAAUUCCAGGUGUAGCGGUGAAAUGCGUUGAUAUCCUAAGGAACACCGGUGGCGAAAGCGGCUCACUGGAUCUCUUCUGACGCUGAGGCACGAAAGCUAGGGUAGCGAACGGG